This 783-nucleotide ribosomal RNA is filed under the name uncultured bacterium. Its description in RNAcentral is "bacterial SSU rRNA". It matches the Rfam family "Bacterial small subunit ribosomal RNA", at positions 8 to 796 of the family's 1533-position model. The record is from RNAcentral.
AGAGUUUGAUCCUGGCUCAGGACGAACGCUGGCGGCGUGCUUAACACAUGCAAGUCGAACGGUAAGGCCCUUCGGGGUACACGAGUGGCGAACAGGUGAGUAACACGUGGGUAAUCUGCCCUGCACAUCGGGAUAAGCCUGGGAAACUGGGUCUAAUACCGAAUAGGACCACAGGACACAUGUCCUGUGGUGGAAAGCUUUUGCGGUGUGGGAUGGGCCCGCGGCCUAUCAGCUUGUUGGUGGGGUGAUGGCCUACCAAGGCGACGACGGGUAGCCGGCCUGAGAGGGUGUCCGGCCACACUGGGACUGAGAUACGGCCCAGACUCCUACGGGAGGCAGCAGUGGGGAAUAUUGCACAAUGGGCGAAAGCCUGAUGCAGCGACGCCGCGUGGGGGAUGACGGCCUUCGGGUUGUAAACCUCUUUCACCAUCGACGAAGGUCCGGGUUUUCUCGGGCUGACGGUAGGUGGAGAAGAAGCACCGGCCAACUACGUGCCAGCAGCCGCGGUAAUACGUAGGGUGCGAGCGUUGUCCGGAAUUACUGGGCGUAAAGAGCUCGUAGGUGGUUUGUCGCGUUGUUCGUGAAAUCUCACGGCUUAACUGUGAGCGUGCGGGCGAUACGGGCAGACUUGAGUACUGCAGGGGAGACUGGAAUUCCUGGUGUAGCGGUGGAAUGCGCAGAUAUCAGGAGGAACACCGGUGGCGAAGGCGGGUCUCUGGGCAGUAACUGACGCUGAGGAGCGAAAGCGUGGGGAGCGAACAGGAUUAGAUACCCUGGUAGUCC